Vigna unguiculata (cowpea) is the source of this 576-nucleotide long non-coding RNA. NCBI's taxonomy places the organism in Eukaryota, Viridiplantae, Streptophyta, Magnoliopsida, Fabales, Fabaceae. The record is from RefSeq and is a predicted model, not a curated record.
UCAAGUCAUCACAUUUGAAAUUCCCGAAUUUUAAUACAAUUUUAUUUUCACGACAAUAUCUUCUAUCAAGAUCCCCUUUUGUCUCAGAUUGUAGGGUUUAUCAUUCAUUCCAUGGCCGCAGAGAAGCUCAGGGAUUUGACUCCACCUAUUGAUUUGCCUUUACUUGGCGCAAUUGUGGCUGCCUUCUAUGAUCCCGGAUCCAUGGAACAGCGAAUUACCUGAUUCUAGGGGAUAAUAGCGGCAGAUUCUGUUUUGCGUUCACUGGGACUUUCUAUUAUUGGGAACAUUCAAAAGGGUUUCAGGUCGUGUUUGAUUUGGCAAGUUCUCGGAUAGGGUUUGCCUCCAAUAGGGUGAUCGUGAUGUUAAUGCAGGGACGAAAACUAGGAGAAGUAGUGACAAACAUGGCUAUUGUAGUAGAACGAAGAAAGUGGGUGGUAAUCACUAGCUUUUGCUUCUUUUUUUCCUUCUGCUUCCUGCCGCAACUUGUUCACUAGGGAUCCAGAAAAAAUAUUGAAAUACAAUUUUUUAUUGUUUUUUGUCUUGUAAGGCAUGAAAGUAUGGGUGUGGAAAAGAUGG